RNAcentral lists this long non-coding RNA (460 nucleotides) under Setaria viridis. RNAcentral describes it as "long non-coding RNA (SVIR_LNC010263)". Lineage: Eukaryota; Viridiplantae; Streptophyta; Magnoliopsida; Poales; Poaceae. The record is from RNAcentral.
GCGGGUAUGCGUCGAAUACAUGCUGGGAUCUUGGAUGCUAUAAGACUUGCUACGCUAUGUGUUUGGCGAAAUGAAGGGGAGACCUUUUAUGUAUAAAAAAAAUACACACGCGGGCACGCUCAUCGCGCCUACAAACAUCUUUUGAAAAACUUAUAUGCAUGGCAUCGAUAUAGUAUAUACAUUAUAAAACUUUGACAAGGAAUUUCUAUGAAAUAUAAUAUUUAAAACAAAAAAAUUAUUUGGUCACAAGGAUAUUUUUAGACUGAGUCUAUUUUUAUAUACAUCAACGUUACAUUGCAGAUCGGCCUAUUUAUUUCUAUAUUAUUUUACUACCAUAAAUCCUAGAAAAAAAUAUAUUUCUGAUUGGAUGUGUUUUUUUUACAAUUUUGGUCGAACUAUUUUAGGAGGAGUCAGUUUUUUUUUAAAAUAUUGUAUUAACAACACACGUACUCAUCAAUAC